This 45-nucleotide non-coding RNA is filed under the name Microcebus murinus (gray mouse lemur). Lineage: Eukaryota; Metazoa; Chordata; Mammalia; Primates; Cheirogaleidae. The record is from RNAcentral.
UCUAUCCGAGGACACUAUAUUACAUGGAUUUUUGGAUCAGGGAGA